GUUUUGAGGAGGCACACACACAGUGCCGAGGUGCACACAGAGAAGGCCGAGAGUUUGGAUAUUGGUGCUCAGAUGAAUUAUUAAUUUUCAAUUUUCAGGUACCAAAGAUGAUAUUGGAUUGCUAGUUGCAGGCUUAGGUGGAAGAGUUGGUGUUGAGGAAUUAAUUUUAUUUAUUUAGAGAUUUUUGUGUAUUUAAUUGAGGAAAUUGAUUUGUAUCAAUAAAGUGAUAUUUUUUUUGA
Long non-coding RNA from Cornus florida, 239 nucleotides. RefSeq lists it as uncharacterized. The transcript is spliced from 2 exons. The record is from RefSeq and is a predicted model, not a curated record. NCBI's taxonomy places the organism in Eukaryota, Viridiplantae, Streptophyta, Magnoliopsida, Cornales, Cornaceae.